GCUUUACACAUGCAAGUCGUACGAGAGUUUUUAACUCAAGUGGCGGACGGGUGAGUAACACGUAAGAAACCUGCCCUACAGACGAGGAUAACUAUUGGAAACGAUAGCUAAUACUGGAUAGCACACGAGAUCGCAUGAUCUUGUGUUUAAAGGCGCUCAUGGCGCUACUGUAGGAUGGUCUUGCGUCGCAUUAGCUUGUUGGUGAGGUAACGGCUCACCAAGGCGACGAUGCGUAGCUGGUCUGAGAGGAUGAAC
RNAcentral lists this ribosomal RNA (255 nucleotides) under uncultured bacterium. RNAcentral's name for it is "partial 16S ribosomal RNA". It matches the Rfam family "Bacterial small subunit ribosomal RNA", at positions 46 to 305 of the family's 1533-position model. The record is from RNAcentral.